UGGUGCCAGUAGUCAAACUGCGCAGCCUCCGUUAUGACCAGUCAGUAACUGUUGGUGAAGAGUGGGGGAACGGUUCACUUUUCGGUGAGGAGGUGAUGCAGAAAUGAUUUAAAUGAAGAUGGACUCUGCUAGGGUGUGAAUCACUUGGAAUAACGAGUAAUUGAAGACACCAAGAUUCCUGCAGACUUCCUCACCAAUUUGCAGGACAUUUUUUUCAGGUUUACUUUAUGUAUAUAAUUGUGGUUGACAAAUAAAACUUGGAUUCCCGAAAUUUGGAU
Long non-coding RNA from Poeciliopsis prolifica (blackstripe livebearer), 278 nucleotides. RefSeq lists it as uncharacterized. The record is from RefSeq and is a predicted model, not a curated record. NCBI's taxonomy places the organism in Eukaryota, Metazoa, Chordata, Actinopteri, Cyprinodontiformes, Poeciliidae. The transcript has 4 exons.